This 253-nucleotide ribosomal RNA is filed under the name uncultured bacterium. Its description in RNAcentral is "partial 16S ribosomal RNA". It matches the Rfam family "Bacterial small subunit ribosomal RNA", at positions 524 to 776 of the family's 1533-position model. The record is from RNAcentral.
UACGAAGGGGGCUAGCGUUGCUCGGAAUUACUGGGCGUAAAGCGCACGUAGGCGGAUUGUUAAGUCAGGGGUGAAAUCCUGGAGCUCAACUCCAGAACUGCCUUUGAUACUGGCGAUCUCGAGUCCGGGAGAGGUGAGUGGAACUGCGAGUGUAGAGGUGAAAUUCGUAGAUAUUCGCAAGAACACCAGUGGCGAAGGCGGCUCACUGGCCCGGUACUGACGCUGAGGUGCGAAAGCGUGGGGAGCAAACAGG